CAGCGAGGCCUCCUGCAGACAGCUGAGGAUGAAAGAGCUGGGGUGGUGAGGUUGUGACCUGUCUUUAUGAACCUGCUGGUGACAACUGGAAAAAAUAUGAAUGAAGGCUACAGGAGGUGGCACUGUCCUCUGGCCCUCCCCCUAUCCAUCCUCUCCUCUGUCAGCGGCCCUACUUCUCCCCCACACAGAUACAAUAGAACAGGUACUACUCCCCACACAUAUACAAUAGGACAGGUACUACUCCCCCCACACAGAUAUAAAGGGAAAGGUACUACUCACCCCACACAUAUAGAAAGGGAAAGGUACUACUACCCCCACACAUAUA
Long non-coding RNA from Oncorhynchus tshawytscha (Chinook salmon), 325 nucleotides. NCBI's taxonomy places the organism in Eukaryota, Metazoa, Chordata, Actinopteri, Salmoniformes, Salmonidae. The record is from Ensembl.